This 1106-nucleotide long non-coding RNA is filed under the name Taeniopygia guttata (zebra finch). Its description in RNAcentral is "lncRNA (ENSTGUG00000024324.1)". The record is from RNAcentral. Lineage: Eukaryota; Metazoa; Chordata; Aves; Passeriformes; Estrildidae.
AGUAAAAUUUUAGGAUUCUAGAUUAGGGGUCCAAAGGGGACAAGACUGGAGGAAUUGGGUGUGUCUUGUCCUUUUUCUCCUUCUUCAUGCCCUCCAUGUUUCACUGUGGUGUUGGCAUUUUUCUAUUGGUUUAGGCUGGGGACACACUGUUUAACGUAGGUGACAGAUAUUGGCACAUUAUUGUAAAUCCAGCACAGGUAGUUUCUGGUAUUUAAUGUUUGUAACAUCCCACUGAGGGCAGAGCCCCACACGCUGCCCUGCAGGACAGAGCUGCGGCAGGGCAGCAGAACAUGUUAGAGAUAAACAGAAUAAACAACCUUGAAACCAGCACAGACGAAUUAUGGCUCCUUCUUUGGCAACGGGGUAGAAAGACAGAGACUUUCUACAAUCUCGGAAUCAUCAAUACCACAGAUUCCGACACUGUCCCGGCCCGCGGCAGCCCCGAGCCCUGGGGCUCUGCCCGCGGAGCGGCUCCGAGCCCUCAGCCCCGAGUCCGCACGGCCUCCCCGGCAGCUCCUGCCCUCAGCACCGACAGAACCGAACCGCCCACCGGUGGAUCCAACACAGCCGCCCCCAGCCCCGCAGAACCUCCCGUCCAUCCGUCCGUGUCUCCGCUGCCUCAGCUCCCGGCCCCGCUCGGAGAGCCCCGUCCCGCGGCGGUGCCGCCCCGAGGGCUCCGCCCCAGCGCCUUCGCGCCUCAGCGCCCCUCACGCCGCCGCCUGAGGGGCCGGGGCUGGCCGGGGCCCGGCGGAGCUCACCGGGGCAGCUCAGCGCUGCGUGCCCCGAGCCGCCCGUGCCCAGCCCUUCCCUCGGGGGCUCUCACAAGUCGGCACUAAGGUUCUCCAAAAUUAUCUCUACAACCUCAUAUUUACCCCUGAGCAAGAAGUCUCACACAGGCAGUGCCUAAUGCAAGGUAAGCCCACACUCUUAAAUUUUCUGUUUGUGUUCCUGCAGUUAAACGUUGAACGUGCCCUUAAAAUGUUAGGAAAGAUCAGACUUCCUGGAAAUUUGAUGCAUGCUGUUCAUAAUGAGUUAAAGAUUUCAGGGGAGGUGGAGUUGUUUUAGUACUCCUCAGGACUUACAGGCAUUUGGGUAUUUGCAACAAG